GUUUGAUCCUGGCUCAGGACGAACGCUGGCGGCGUGCCUAAUACAUGCAAGUCGAACGCUUUUUCUUUCACCGGAGCUUGCUCCACCGAAAGAAAAGGAGUGGCGAACGGGUGAGUAACACGUGGGUAACCUGCCCAUCAGAAGGGGAUAACACUUGGAAACAGGUGCUAAUACCGUAUAACAAUCGAAACCGCAUGGUUUCGGUUUGAAAGGCGCUUUUGCGUCACUGAUGGAUGGACCCGCGGUGCAUUAGCUAGUUGGUGAGGUAACGGCUCACCAAGGCAACGAUGCAUAGCCGACCUGAGAGGGUGAUCGGCCACAUUGGGACUGAGACACGGCCCAAACUCCUACGGGAGGCAGCAGUAGGGAAUCUUCGGCAAUGGACGCAAGUCUGACCGAGCAACGCCGCGUGAGUGAAGAAGGUUUUCGGAUCGUAAAACUCUGUUGUUAGAGAAGAACAAGGAUGAGAGUAGAAUGUUCAUCCCUUGACGGUAUCUAACCAGAAAGCCACGGCUAACUACGUGCCAGCAGCCGCGGUAAUACGUAGGUGGCAAGCGUUGUCCGGAUUUAUUGGGCGUAAAGCGAGCGCAGGCGGUUUCUUAAGUCUGAUGUGAAAGCCCCCGGCUCAACCGGGGAGGGUCAUUGGAAACUGGGAAACUUGAGUGCAGAAGAGGAGAGUGGAAUUCCAUGUGUAGCGGUGAAAUGCGUAGAUAUAUGGAGGAACACCAGUGGCGAANGCGGCUCUCUGGUCUGUAACUGACGCUGAGGCUCGAAAGCGUGGGGAGCAAACAGGAUUAGAUACCCUG
This 806-nucleotide ribosomal RNA is filed under the name uncultured Enterococcus sp. RNAcentral describes it as "bacterial SSU rRNA". It matches the Rfam family "Bacterial small subunit ribosomal RNA", at positions 11 to 789 of the family's 1533-position model. Lineage: Bacteria; Bacillati; Bacillota; Bacilli; Lactobacillales; Enterococcaceae. The record is from RNAcentral.